Molecule: ribosomal RNA, 254 nt
Filed under: uncultured bacterium
Lineage: Bacteria
Description: partial 16S ribosomal RNA
Rfam family: Bacterial small subunit ribosomal RNA
Source: RNAcentral
CACGUAGGGACCAAGCGUUGUCCGGAUUCAUUGGGCGUAAAGAGCUCGUAGGCGGUUCGAUAAGUCGGGUGUGAAACCUCCAGGCUCAACCUGGAGACGCCACCCGAUACUGUCGUGACUAGAGUCCAGUAGGGGAGCGUGGAAUUCCUGGUGUAGCGGUGAAAUGCGUAGAUAUCGAGAGGAACACCUGCGGCGAAGGCGGGUUGCUGGGCUGACACUGACGCUGAUGCGCGAAAGCUAGGGGAGCGAACGGG